CCGGGGACAGUCGAUUUAGGGCUUUCUUCUAGCUGGCCUUCCUAGCCACGACGACCCACAUGCAAAUGACCCCCCACACGCCAUUGCCGUGUACUUCCAUCCACAGCUUCAACGGCUGUAGUGACUCCCAAGCCUACAUGAACGCGGCCAGGGGGGGGGUACUGUGAUGGUGAUGGCGACGACCGAGGCAGCAUGCAUGAGCUCCGCCUCUCGCGCUCCGCGCCAUCAGGGCGCAUGUCAUGGGCCUCAUGUGGAAGCCUCAUGGGCCGGUACAUGUACUACUGGGAGUGCGUACUGUACCCCUGGUAUCCCUGCCCCUGGCGCACUCACAACACCCCCAAACCAACGUGCGCAACCGAAUGACCCGAAAUGUCAUCAUGCGCGUCGGUGUACAUUGCCAGGGCACUCGCACCCAUGAGCCAGAGCCCUCCUAUGGGUGUGCCCGAUAAGCUUGAACUUCU
RNAcentral lists this long non-coding RNA (461 nucleotides) under Volvox carteri. RNAcentral's name for it is "long non-coding RNA (VCAR_LNC000644)". Lineage: Eukaryota; Viridiplantae; Chlorophyta; Chlorophyceae; Chlamydomonadales; Volvocaceae. The record is from RNAcentral.